UGAGGAAUAUUGGUCAAUGGGCGCAAGCCUGAACCAGCCAUCCCGCGUGCAGGAAGACGGCCCUAUGGGUUGUAAACUGCUUUUCCAGGGGGAGAAUUUUUCUGUCGUGACAGGAAUUGACGGUACCCUGGGAAUAAGCAUCGGCUAACUCCGUGCCAGCAGCCGCGGUAAUACGGAGGAUGCGAGCGUUAUCCGGAUUUAUUGGGUUUAAAGGGUGCGUAGGCGGCUUGAUAAGUCAGUGGUGAAAACCUGCAGCUUAACUGUAGACUUGCCGUUGAUACUGUCAGUCUUGAGUGUGGUCAAGGUAGGCGGAAUGUGUAGUGUAGCGGUGAAAUACUUAGAUAUUACACAGAACACCGAUUGCGAAGGCAGCUUACUGGGCCAUUACUGACGCUGAUGCACGAAAGCGUGGGGAUCGAACA
This 422-nucleotide ribosomal RNA is filed under the name uncultured bacterium. RNAcentral describes it as "bacterial SSU rRNA". It matches the Rfam family "Bacterial small subunit ribosomal RNA", at positions 355 to 774 of the family's 1533-position model. The record is from RNAcentral.